UGACAUGUAACUCAACUGGCAGAGUACCCGGCUUUUAACCGGGAGGUUAUGAGUUCAAAUCUCAUCAUGUCUA
This 73-nucleotide transfer RNA is filed under the name Dokdonia pacifica. It matches the Rfam family "tRNA". From Rfam's summary of the family: Transfer RNA (tRNA) molecules are approximately 80 nucleotides in length. Their secondary structure includes four short double-helical elements and three loops (D, anti-codon, and T loops). Further hydrogen bonds mediate the characteristic L-shaped molecular structure. tRNAs have two regions of fundamental functional importance: the anti-codon, which is responsible for specific mRNA codon recognition, and the 3' end, to which the tRNAs corresponding amino acid is attached (by aminoacyl-tRNA synthetases). tRNAs cope with the degeneracy of the genetic code in two manners: having more than one tRNA (with a specific anti-codon) for a particular amino acid; and 'wobble' base-pairing, i.e. permitting non-standard base-pairing at the 3rd anti-codon position. The record is from Rfam by way of RNAcentral. Lineage: Bacteria; Pseudomonadati; Bacteroidota; Flavobacteriia; Flavobacteriales; Flavobacteriaceae.